GCCAUGCCACAGUGGGCCACAUGGGGAAGCACCAGGGCCAGGCGGGCGGCAGAGGGAGCAGAGAAGCCCUUACCGUGGUUUCCAGGAGAAGGAACAGGAAAACCCGAAGGCCAUCCCAGCAGGAGCCGGGCGUUCAGAGGCUCCUGGUGCCACCGGGCCUCUCGAAGGGUGCUCGUGCCCUCUUCCCAGGCUUGCUCCAUCUUUCUGCUCGGAGUGGGCAUUCCAGACUCGAGCGCCUGCCUUGGUGGGGGUGGGGUGGGCAGCCAGGCGUAAGUGAUCUGCAGGGACUGCGUGCGCAACUAGAGGCGCAACCGGCCCCUUAGCUGAGUGCGCAAGCCCACUGCGCGGGGUGGUGCAUUCUGGCGUCGCUGGGCUGCAGCCUGCCACGCUGGAAAGAGACUGUGACAUCGUCUAAUUCAAUCCGGCGACUUCAGAGGUUUUAAAUGGCCCAGCCAAGGUCAUGCGAUAAGCGAGUGGAAGGACCGGACCUGGGCACUGCGGUGGAGGAGACCAGCUCAAGCAUUUGGAGACAGUCCUGGGUUCGAACCCAGACUCUGACAGUGUCUCAUUUUCGGACCUCAAGCAAGCUGUUUCAACUCCGUGCUUUCGUUUCCUCGUUUCUAAAAUAAAUGAUAGCAGCCCUGCGUCAUGGGGACCCUGGGAGGAUUAACGGAGAUGGUGCAGGCGCAGGGUAAGCUCAGUGACCGGCACUCGGUAAUUGCGGAAGAGGUGCCGCUGUUGUUAUUAGGCCGGCUGAAUAGACGUCGAGCAUAGUCGGGGUGUCUCCCAAGCAAAGACAAAGAGUUCGGCGUAAGGGGUUUACCUGGGAGAUGACCCCAGGAGCAGGAAUGUGGGAACAAGGAGAGUGAGACAGCGAGCGAAGGAGGAAAAUACUCACAUAAGGGUGUGUUAUCAUGGCUGCGGCUGUGGGCAGUGGGAGCCCAAUUCUGCCGGGGGACUUUCCGGAGAAUAUUGUAAAUGCAUCAAAGACUGUAAAAAAGGCCUAAAUAAAUGAAGAGCUGUGGCAUGUCAACUUAUGGGAAAACUCAAUCUGGUCUUAUAAUCAGUGAGGGUUUGAUCAUGAAAACAGAAACCGCACCAGGUACUUUAGCAGGAAAAGGUGUGAGAUGGGAAUUCGAGAUUUCCAUUGGCUUUGGAAAGCCUCCCGAGCAAAGCUCAGAAAGAGCACUUUGGGAAUUCUGAGGCUGCAGAGAUCAGGAGGAAGAAUAUCGCAGCCUGGUGUGUGUGAUGCUCGGGAAGAUGCUAAAGGCUGCAAAACCCGGGAUCUGUGCUCUGCAGUACCCACAGGGGCCUCCAGAGAAUAAAUACCCCAUGUCUUCUUUCCUCACAGCCCCAAGCCGGUGCCUCUGACAGGUGGCCUCUAGCUGGGUCCACAGGCAACGAGUCUGAGAAAUGCAGUUGGCAGGCGUGGGGAUCCUGGGUAUAGGGAAGAGCUGGAGUGGCAAGGCUGGUACUGGCAAUGAACACAUGAUAGCUGGCACAGUCAGAGACGCCCAUCCUCCCCCCAGAUUGAUUCAUCUGUAAAUGCAAUGAGAUGCCAACUAAAUCCUCCAGAAUUAUAAGAUUCAAAAGAAGAAGAAAGAUCCAGGGAUGACCAGGACAAUUUUGAAGAAAAAGAUGGAGGAAGAGAAGCAGGGUGGGGAGGGAGGGUGUGUUGGGGUCCCCAGGACCGCUUCCAGGCUCAAUGAUUCACCAGGAGGACUCAGCAUAGAGUCAUCCUCACAGCCAUGAUUUAUCACAGCGAGAGGACUCAGAGCAGAACCAGCAAAGGGACAAGGCACGUGGGGCAAAGUCCAGAGGAACCAGGCACGAGCUUCUGGAGUCCUCUCCAGGGGAGUCACACAGGACACUCUCAAUUCCUCCAGCCACAAGUUGUGACAACAUAUUUGAAAGUGUUGUUCACUGGGGAAGACCACCAAGACUCAUCACCCAAGGCUUUUAUUGGGGGCUGGUCCUAUAGGUACCCUCUGCCUGGCAUGUGCCAAGAUUCCAGAUUUCUAGAAGAAAAGCAGGAGACCAGCAUCAGCCUUGUUGUUUGUACAAAUGGUUUCUGCACAGUGAGCCACUCUUAUCAGUCCUGGGAAUGGGGGUGCCCCCUCCUGAAACCCAAGUUCCCAGACGUGAGCUGGGGGCCAACCUAGCCAGCAGAACUCUCUGAGGAUGGCAGGCUCCAGCCUGCCGUGUUAACUCUUUUCUGCACAAAGGGGAGCUGACUCUACCAGAUAGCAAAACAUACUGUAACACUAUAUUAAUGAAAACAGUGUGCUGUUGACCCAGGGACAAGAAAUACAUUAAGGAAGAGAAUAGAGAGAGUGCAGAAGUAGACGCCCUCACUCCCGUAUAUAGGUACAAAGCCAGCAUUACAAGUCACUGGAGAAAGAGAGUGUCAUUCAAGAAAUGGUUUUGUAACAAUCGGGCAGCUGUAUAUGAAUAAAUAAAUUUAAAC
RNAcentral lists this long non-coding RNA (2467 nucleotides) under Equus caballus (horse). Its description in RNAcentral is "lncRNA (ENSECAG00000055860.1)". Lineage: Eukaryota; Metazoa; Chordata; Mammalia; Perissodactyla; Equidae. The record is from RNAcentral.